RNAcentral lists this small RNA (103 nucleotides) under Marmota monax (woodchuck). Lineage: Eukaryota; Metazoa; Chordata; Mammalia; Rodentia; Sciuridae. The record is from RNAcentral.
GCUGGGUGUGGUGGCGCACACCUGUAAUCUGAGACUCAGGAGGCUGAGGCAGAGGAUUGGAAGUUCAGGGCUGACUCAGCAACUUAGAGAGACCCUGACUCAA